This 253-nucleotide ribosomal RNA is filed under the name uncultured bacterium. Its description in RNAcentral is "partial 16S ribosomal RNA". It matches the Rfam family "Bacterial small subunit ribosomal RNA", at positions 524 to 776 of the family's 1533-position model. The record is from RNAcentral.
UACGUAGGUGGCAAGCGUUGUCCGGAAUUAUUGGGCGUAAAGCGCGCGCAGGCGGUCUCUUAAGUCUGAUGUGAAAGCCCCCGGCUCAACCGGGGAGGGUCAUUGGAAACUGGGAGACUUGAGUACAGAAGAGGAGAGUGGAAUUCCACGUGUAGCGGUGAAAUGCGUAGAGAUGUGGAGGAACACCAGUGGCGAAGGCGACUCUCUGGUCUGUAACUGACGCUGAGGCGCGAAAGCGUGGGGAGCAAACAGG